RNAcentral lists this long non-coding RNA (205 nucleotides) under Gossypium barbadense (sea-island cotton). RNAcentral's name for it is "long non-coding RNA (GBAR_LNC009369)". The record is from RNAcentral. Lineage: Eukaryota; Viridiplantae; Streptophyta; Magnoliopsida; Malvales; Malvaceae.
AAGAAAGCAAAAAGAAACAGAGAAUAAUAAAAGAAAGGGUAAAAGAAACGUGGAAGCAAAAAAAAGAGUGGAUGGUUUGGAGUGGGACCAAAUUUAGGAAUUUGGAUAAAAUCUAAAAAUAAAAUUUAAAAUUAUCAAACUAUCCAUUUAAACAAUUAUAUAUCUCUAACAAAUCUCCCUAGAAUAACAAUCCCCCUUAAACUCC